Molecule: ribosomal RNA, 292 nt
Filed under: uncultured bacterium
Lineage: Bacteria
Description: partial 16S ribosomal RNA
Rfam family: Bacterial small subunit ribosomal RNA
Source: RNAcentral
GUGCCAGCAGCCGCGGUAAAACGUAGGUGGCAAGCGUUAUCCGGAUUCACUGGGCGUAAAGCGCGUGCAGGUGGCUUCGUAAGUUGGACGUUAAAUUUCCCGGCCUAACCGGGAGGGGUCGUUCAAUACUGCGGGGCUUGAGGGCAGAAGAGGGGGGUGGAAUUGCCGGUGUAGUGGUGAAAUGCGUAGAUAUCGGCAGGAACACCUGUGGCGAAAGCGGCCCCCUGGUCUGCUCCUGACACUCAGACGCGAAAGCCAGGGUAGCGAACGGGAUUAGAAACCCCUGUAGUCC